UACGUAGGGUCCGAGCGUUGUCCGGAAUUAUUGGGCGUAAAGAGCUCGUAGGCGGUUUGUCGCGUCUGCCGUGAAAGUCCGGGGCUCAACUCCGGAUCUGCGGUGGGUACGGGCAGACUAGAGUGAUGUAGGGGAGACUGGAAUUCCUGGUGUAGCGGUGAAAUGCGCAGAUAUCAGGAGGAACGCCGAUGGCGAAGGCAGGUCUCUGGGCAUUAACUGACGCUGAGGAGCGAAAGCAUGGGGAGCGAACAGG
This 253-nucleotide ribosomal RNA is filed under the name uncultured bacterium. Its description in RNAcentral is "partial 16S ribosomal RNA". It matches the Rfam family "Bacterial small subunit ribosomal RNA", at positions 524 to 776 of the family's 1533-position model. The record is from RNAcentral.